Molecule: long non-coding RNA, 718 nt
Organism: Cavia porcellus (domestic guinea pig)
Lineage: Eukaryota; Metazoa; Chordata; Mammalia; Rodentia; Caviidae
Source: Ensembl
AGAGAGGGUUGGGAAGAAACUUAGAGUCAUUUCCAGACAGGGUGGAACAAGACCAUCCCUGAGAAAUGGGUUCAGAUGAAACAGCAGCAGGAACUAAGAACCCAAGAAAAGCCAACCCCCAGUCAACUUUAGCUUUGCUUUGGAACACAGAACUAUGAAAGUCUGAGAAGGAAGCAAGAUGUUUUUUGUCCCCCAGUCUCCUCCUAAAGCUUAGCACUAGAGGCGCUGCCUCAUAAAAACGGCUCGUGCAGGCUUUCUGUGGAGUGGACCCUCCUUACCAAGAUCUAAGUUCCAUGUGUGUGUACAAAGCCAGCUUUCUAACCAGGGAGCUGCAGGACGAUCUGACCACUGCAUGCCAGGGAAGGCCGUCUUGAAAGCACAGUCACAUCCCUUCAUUGUUCUGCUUGGAAUCAUCUGCUCACUUCUGGAAAGUGUAGCAAAACUGAGGUGAAACCGGGUUAAGUUGUUCUGGAUGUACUGCUACAAGUCAUUUGGACCUGGGGCAAGAGCCAGAAGUUCCAUGGUACCGACACGGUGCAAACCAUGGAUGGGAACACGCCGUGUCUUCGUAGGCCUGCCUUAGGGUUACACGGCAUUGGCAGCAACAUUCACUGCUCUUCAUCACACCUUGUAGACACUUAAAAGAAGACUUCCAGAACUGUUUCAGAAAGUGGCAAGAAAACCAAGAUGUGUACUCAAAGUAAGGGUGGGUAUUUUU